UAGAGGACCGACGCAGAGCGCAGGGGGCGGGGCGCGAGCAGGUCUGCGGGCCUGGGCCUGGGCGCCGGGCCGCGGCUGGCAGGGGUGAGCGGAGAGCAGGCGGCGCGGGAGGAAAGCACUGGCCCUCUAGGUGUCCCCGACCCCCGGUCAACUGGAAAAGGCUGAGUGUUCGGGGCCUAAGACAACAGCAGGCGGCGAAGGAAGCGGCUGGAGAGGACCCUGGGAGCCGACCACACGGAGGCCGGACGAAGGGACCGCGAAGCCGCUGGGGAGGCAGGCAGCCGAGCUCCGGGCCCUACGCCACUCCGCAGCCCAUAAAGCGUGCAGGGUCACUCUGCAGCGCUGGCUUGGCGGCUUUAACCAUUUUUGCUCCGGGACCAGUGUUUUUGAGCAGCGUGGGGGAAAGGGGGAGAGGGACGGGACUCCCCCCUUCUUCAGGCCGCUUCCUCUCCUCGCCCCAGCCCCUGCGCUGCCCAUGAAGCCUGUUCUGACCAGCCAGCCGCUUGGUUAGCCCCCAACCCGGAAUUCUCGUCGCUUGUGUACAGCCUACACCAUCUUUCAUCUCUUGAUUCCUGGAUUUCUGACCAUCAGACCUGCCAGGUCAGGAGGAGCCUGCUAUGGUAAAUCACAUAUCAGAAAUCUCAGCAUCACCAGAGACUAAAAUGGAUGUCCAUAUGUCACGGAGAAUGAAAUCUCUUCCCAAUCCCUGUCUUCUGAGCUGACUUGAAGCCUCACAGCCGUUCUGCUGAGACAGAAGGAGGGACUGCAUGACCUGAGGAAGGUUCCUCACCCCACUCACCCCCACCAGCAGGUAGCUGCCACUAUUCAGGUCUCAGCAAAAGAGUGACAUCCUUGGGAAAAUAUUCUCCAACACCCUCCACCCCCAGCCUUAAUAGUAAUUAUCUCAGUUUGUAGCUAUAUCCUCAUCUAUAUCAUCUGGAUAAUGAAUGUCUAACUCAAGUGUCUAUAA
Manis pentadactyla (Chinese pangolin) is the source of this 970-nucleotide long non-coding RNA. RefSeq lists it as uncharacterized. The record is from RefSeq and is a predicted model, not a curated record. Lineage: Eukaryota; Metazoa; Chordata; Mammalia; Pholidota; Manidae. The transcript has 3 exons.